Molecule: non-coding RNA, 21 nt
Filed under: Caenorhabditis elegans
Lineage: Eukaryota; Metazoa; Nematoda; Chromadorea; Rhabditida; Rhabditidae
Source: RNAcentral
UUUGAUGUUGCGUGAAGCAUA